AUUGAACGCUGGCGGAAUGCUUUCACAUGCAAGUCGAACGGCAGCACGGACUUCGGUCUGGUGGCGAGUGGCGAACGGGUGAGUAAUGUAUCGGAACGUGCCCAGUCGUGGGGGAUAACGUAGUGAAAAUUACGCUAAUACCGCAUACGAUCUAUGGAUGAAAGCGGGGGAUCGCAAGACCUCGCGCGAUUGGAGCGGCCGAUAUCAGAUUAGGUAGUUGGUGGGGUAAAGGCCCACCAAGCCAACGAUCUGUAGCCGGUCUGAGAGGACGACCAGCCACACUGGAACUGAGACACGGUCCAGACUCCUACGGGAGGCAGCAGUGGGGAAUUUUGGACAAUGGGCGAAAGCCUGAUCCAGCCAUUCCGCGUGCAGGAUGAAGGCCCUCGGGUUGUAAACUGCUUUUGUACAGAACGAAAAGGUUUCUACUAAUACUAGGAGCUCAUGACGGUACUGUAAGAAUAAGCACCGGCUAACUACGUGCCAGCAGCCGCGGUAA
RNAcentral lists this ribosomal RNA (499 nucleotides) under uncultured bacterium. RNAcentral describes it as "partial 16S ribosomal RNA". It matches the Rfam family "Bacterial small subunit ribosomal RNA", at positions 30 to 523 of the family's 1533-position model. The record is from RNAcentral.